GAUACUGCCACGUUGGAAGAACCACAAAAGGAGGCCGAAUGCGUUGAGAGAUACACAAGUGGAUCAGUAAGAUGACAGCUGCUGCAUUGAAAUCGGGAUUGUAAUAUGUCAGUUUCCAGCCCAUCACAUAUAAUCCAGACAGAGACAUAGCUUUUCGUCUGCCUCGUUAUGAUUUCCCUCUGUCUGGUGCGGUUUGGGUCACAUCUGUUGGCUGCAUUCUCAUAUUCAUGAGAUCUGCAUUGACUGAUAGUUUAAACCCUGUGUUUAUCUAUGUCUGUGGUUCUUAUUUCUCUCCCAGGGAAGUCUCCAGAGAAGCACAGUAUCCCCUGAUGCGGGUAUCUUGGUUUCAUUAACCCACCGUUGGUGCGUCCUUUCAGCCACUUCUGUAUGUUUCAUGC
This 398-nucleotide long non-coding RNA is filed under the name Lynx pardinus (Iberian lynx). The record is from RNAcentral. Lineage: Eukaryota; Metazoa; Chordata; Mammalia; Carnivora; Felidae.